RNAcentral lists this long non-coding RNA (5706 nucleotides) under Gossypium barbadense (sea-island cotton). RNAcentral describes it as "long non-coding RNA (GBAR_LNC002192)". The record is from RNAcentral. Lineage: Eukaryota; Viridiplantae; Streptophyta; Magnoliopsida; Malvales; Malvaceae.
CAUGUUGCUAGCUUCAACUCGAUUGAAUAAGAAUAAUUGAUUCUCUCUAUUGUCCAUUUCUUAUUCAUUUAGGGCGCUCGGCCGGUGCUCCUUUCUCAAACCAGAACAACUUUAAACGUUAGGGAAGAUAAGGGAAGACCACCUGAGCGAAGCGACCGAAGGGACUUGACUUAUCUGAACUGAACGAUAGCGGCUUAAAGCUAAGCCUAUCACGAGCAGUGUCGCUGCUUGAUCGGCGGGGAGGAGCAUCUAGUUAUGGAUGGAAUGAUCUCCUCUCUUGUACCCUGCGAAAGCUGAAGAAUGGCUUUAGACUUCCAUUCCGCUGCUCCAAAAAUCCUUAUUUGCUGCGUUACAUGUUCUCCAUUAUUCUUCUAUCAUAGGCUUGUCAGGCUGAUUCUUUCGUUUCGAAAUAUAAUAAUAAUAUUAUUCUCAGAGCAGAGAAUAUCCCCCUUUCUUUCAGGCUCAUUUGUGUCACCGUAAAGGCUUGUUUGAAAGGAGAGGGAUGCUAUUUCUUUAAUUGAUAGGAAUUAUAAAUAGAGAAGAAUCUCAGUAAAUUAUAGACCACUUCAAAUCUUCGUUUUCGAGAGGGAUGAUCAACUCCGCAAAUAUCAAUCGAAACUUGAACCAUUGUAUAGGUAUGCAAUUUUAGAAAGCACAACAAUUGAAAUAGGUAGUCUGUAUUGGUAUCAGAUCUAUUCCCAUGUUCCGAUCUUUUCAUUUUUUUUACCCAUUUCUUGGGGAAAGUCUCCCAAAAGCAGUCAAUUUGACUCAGCUCCUCUUUUCUAGAAUCCUACCUGGUGUAUAGUUCUAUUCACUUUACACAAUGAGGAAAUUGUUCAUCAUAAGAAAGGGGACCGAAAAAUUGAAUUUGAAUUAUUUCCAUUCAGAAUAAAAUUUUCUUUUAAUUAUGAUUAGGAUAUAUUCUGUUCAAUAAUUGGAAAUUUUGUUAAGUAUGUUAAACUUCAGUAUAAAUAAAGUUCUAUUGUUUCAAUAAAUUAUUAUUUUAGCUUAAUAAUGAUAUGAAAGUAUUUUUAAUAAAGCAUGUAAAUCGUACCAUAAAUUUUUAGUUCCUUACAAAAGUUAGGCAUGCAUGAAAGUUUAAGUCUUUAGAAUUGACUUAGUAGUUUCUUGAGGCGAAAUCCUAGGAAGCAUGGAACAUUGAAAAUGAUUUAGGCAACUUUUGUUUGGACUGUUUGAGCCUUUCAAGCCAACCAUGACGAAAUUUUUAUCCUUUGAAACCCAACUUUGAGACUAUAUGGCCUAAUUUUAUUUGAACCCUUGUAAAUUUAGCCAUCACUUCUCUCUUAACUAUCUUAAAAUUGUCCCAAACACUAGACUCAGUACUAUUUGAAGUAUUCUUUAAAAAAAAGUUUGGGGGAGUUGAAAAGAUAUAUCGAAUGCUCUAAAAUUGUAGUACAUUCAAAAAAAUGCUCGAAUUAUAAAAAAAAGAGCAUGAGUUCUUAAAAUAAGAUGUACAAAAGAGCAUGUGAAAGCAAAGAAAGUUGGUGUAUUGAAGGUAAUUAUUUCGAAAGUCCGAUGCAAUCUGAGUCUAGGGUUUAAAAGCCUAAAUUUAUCUAUAUUUUACCUACCCUUAAGCCCAACCACAUUACAACCUUGUUAAUGACCUAUUGAUUCAAAAGUUACAAUGCUACCUACAUUAGUGCAGAGAAAUUGCUACGUACAACAUAUGAAGACAUAAGUUAAACUUGAUGAUUGCAGCUUAAUCUUGAAUAAUGGGAAUAAAAUUACAUUGGUAAGGUUUAACAUGACUUUAUUAGGAAGCAUUUAGUCUAAUUUUUUCUAUCAUAAUAGUUGUUGAGAUUUAUUUGAACGAUAUGUAUAAUUAAGUAGCAUAACUAUCAAAUUUCUUGUCUUUAAGCAUAAGUAUAUUAAAUUCAUAAUUUUGAGAAAAAUGUUGUUCUGAAAGAAUUUUUCAAAGGUGUUUCUGAGAAAUUCUUUCAAAAUUUUUUCAUUACUCGAGACGAGCAAUGAAUUAAGUUUGGGGUGUGGAAACACAUAAAUUUACACACUUUUUCAUACCCUUUUUAACCUAAAUCCAUGCGAAUUUAGUUAAAUUCUUGUCAAAAAAUAAUUAAUUUUUAUAAAAUAUUUAAAAUUCCCUUAAAAUAUGAACAUGUUGAAAUUUAGUUAAUUUUCUAAUUAUUUUUGAUGAAUUUUGGUUAUUUUUGAUAGAUUUGCACAAAAGGCAAAAAAUGUCUCAAUAGACACUACCAGAAGCACAAAAUCAAGAAGCAAUUUGAAGUAUCAAGGCAAAUUAAUUUCCAGCCUAAGAUGGUCCAAUUAUGUGUAUUAAUUCAUAAUAUAAUUAAUUUUAAUUUAUACCCAAUUUAAUUUGGGUUAUAACAUCCCAAAAUAGGGCCUAGUCAGAAUAAUGGUUUUGGGACCACAAAUCCAACAUCAAAAUAUUUAUUUUAUGAUUAUUAUGAGGCCUAGAAUAUGAGUAUAUGCAUGUGUUAAAGUUUCAUGAAGAAAUUCUUUGAGUAAGGUGUUCAAUUGGAAAUUAGGGACUAAAUUGAAUAAAUUGCAAAACUUGAUUUCUAGAAGCAACUUGCAUGAAAUUGCUUUAGAUUAUAAAAUAGAAGGUCUUGGGGAGCAAUUUUCCCAAUUUCUAAAUUUUUAGACAAAAAUGGGCUUGCAUGGAUGAAAUUUCAAAGAAAAGGCAUAAGGACAUUUUGGUCAUUUGGCAUUUAAGUGAAAUAAAAUGGGAAAAAUGAACCAAAAAUCAGCCAUUCUUCUUCUCCAUGCUGCCGAAAUUUCUAGGGUUUCCAUAGCUAGGGUUUUUUAAGCUUUCCAAGCUCAAUAGUAAGUGCUCCCAAGCCCCGUUUUUAAUGUUCUUUAUAUUUUUGAAAUCCCGGUAGCUUGCUCUCUCCAUUUCUACCCAUAUUUCAUGCUAAGGUUCAUGUUUAAAAAUUUACCCAUGCCUGAUUUGCUUGUAUUUUGCUGAAUUAUGGAGGAAUAUGAAAGAUGAAUGUCUAUUAAACAUCUUUUCCUAGUUGAUUUUCAUGAAAAACCCUUAUAGGGACUAUUUUGCAAAAGAUGUAAAUGUGUGGCAGAAAUGAGAAAAUAAUGGAAAAUGUGGGCUACCAUAAGAAGGAAAAUUGUUCGGCUAGGCUUGGGUAAGAUAGAAAGUGCAUGUUUUUCAUUAUACGAGCCUAAGAACUAAAUUGUAAAAAUGUGAAAGGUUAGGGGCAAAACGGUCAUUUAGACUGGGGGUAGAUAUUAAACUUGAAAUUUAUAAUGUAGUGUAUUAAUGAGUUAAUUUUAUUUUUAUAGACCCUGAAUAACAAAUUCCGAAGGUCGAUCGAGGUAAACGCAAGGUUUCAGAAUAACCGAAAUACAACUCCGAAAAGAAUACCAGGUAAGUUCGGAUAACUUAGAGUAAACCCCUAAUAUGCAUAAUUGUAUGAUUUAUGAAUGCAUGAUGAUUGCAUUUAUUAUUGGCAUGAAAUAUUGUAGAAAUGCAUAUUUGAUGAUAACGUGUGAAAAAUGUCUCGGUUGAGGUUGAAAAAGGGAAUUCGAUGGACAAACCCUGUUUGACAUGUGAACUGAGAUCCUGCAUGUGUUGCAGUAAGGAUUUAUCCCGGACGGGUAAUCUGUGAUCUCAAGUAUGAAAAGGAUCUAGCCCGGACGAGUGUUCCUUGAAUGAUCAAGCCUCUCGAAGAAUAUAUGUGCAUUAUGGAUUUAGCCCGGACGGGUAAUCCGAUUAGGGUCUGGAUUUAGCCUGGACUGGUAAUUUCGAUCUGAGCUCAUUAAGGGUGUUUUUCGUUAUAAGGGAUUUAGCCUGGACUGGUAAUCCUGACAUCACCGCAUGAGUUCAUGAUAUAGGGGAUUUAGCCUGGACUGGUAAUCCGGCCAUGAGAUGUGAGGUUCGCGGGAGUGCAUAUAAGUGAAAUGAUCAUCCGUAAGAAUUGACGGAUAAUGGGUAUUCCAUCGAGAUCUCCUAGAAACUCAACGGGAUCAAUAUGAUGUAUUUCAAUAAGAUGAUGAAUGAUGAGCUCAUCUACAUAAAUUACAUGAUGCUUUGUUAUGUCACUAACUCAUUGAUUGAGUGCAUGUGAUAGGGAACCGUUUCAUAAUUGAUGAUUUCAUGAUUUAAAUAUGGAUGUAUGCUAAUUACUCGGUAAGUUUACUUUCUGGUUAUUCGAGCUUACUAAGCAUGUAAAUGUUUACCCCUCUCUUUUUCCCUAUCUCACAGAGCUCGAGGACUCAAACAGAUUGGAAGAUGAUUGGAGAGUCAACAGACUAUCAACUAGUUAAGCUUUGGUAUAAAGACUUUUUUUUAUUUUGUUCAGUGGCAUGUAUAGUAUUUUUAAGUAUUUUGUUAUAUGUGUCAUUCGAUUUGCCAAAUGAAGGCAUGUAAAAAUAUGUUUAUCCCUUUGUAUAUGGCCACAAAAAUUGGCUUAAUUGAAGUAGGCUAUGACCUACGAAUUUAUGCAUGGUUUUAUUUACAAGUGAUGGGUUAUUACCAAUUGGAAAUGAGUCACAUGAACGAACCAAUUUCGGAUGAAUUAAAGUGACAUGGGAACCCAUAAAUAGUAAAUGGGAAAUAACCUAUCAUGCAUGAAACCAAUGAUAUGAGGUUUCCAUACAUCUAGUUUAAUCAAGGUUUUUUACAAGUAUAUAAUUGUGUUCUACUUUGAAUUUGGUAACCACUAAGCACAAGUAGUAGAAAGGGGUGACUAAAGGCUUGGAAAAUAGUCUAUUAGAGUCCACAUGGUUAGACACACGGGCGUGUGUCUAGGCCGUGUGUGACACAUGGUUUCCUCCCAUGAGCAUGUGCUAUGGCCGUGUGUCCCCUGCACUUAAAAUUUUAGCUCAAAGUUGUACACGGGUAGGCUACACGGUCGUUCACCAUGGCCGUGUUAAAAAGACAGUGUCGUCCACGGGCAGGUAGCACGGGUAUGUGCCAUGGCCGUGUUGAUAAGUCGUGUUGUCCACGGCUGAAGGGCAUGGGUGUGCCCCAAGUCACACGAGCGUGUGAGUCCACACGGCCAACCUACAGGGCGUGUGAACUUUAUGAUAAGGAAAAAUUUCCUAAGGAGCCCAAGGUUUUUCGAAUGUACUUGAAUUUGUCCCGCACUGCCUCUAGGUAUGUUAUAGGCCUCGAAGGCCUAUACAAGGGACGAGUUGUUCAUGGAUGAAAAGCUUAAAAUUUGAAUAAAAUUUGGUGACCCAAUUUGGUACGUUUCAAAUUGUAAAGUCCUGGUAAUGCCUCAAAUCCUAUCUCGGCGUUGAGUACGGGUGAGGGGUGUUACAUUUAUUGGUAUCAGAGCUACGGUUUAGUUGGUUCUAGGACUACCGUAGAGGAUGUUAAAGUUCACUAUACAUGCCAUUAUUUGAAUUUUGAUAGUGUGACGUCUCCUAAUUGUUUAAACUAUUUUGAAUAUAGUGAAUGUCUUCCAAUCAUGCACAAGAUGAGUCCGAGGGAGCCGAGAGCCAUGCUCCAGCUUUCAUACAGCGAGCAGUAUCUACUAAUAGUAGAAGGCUGAUGUCAGAAGGCCGAAAAGAGGCCUGAGCUACCUUCUUUGAUAUGAUGGAUGAAUGGUUUGGGGAUUAUAUGAGAAAUCGCCCCAAUACACCAAGACCUCCCCCGCCCUCUAACCAACCAGAUGAGGAUGUGCCACGAGGUAUGGCACCAGUAAGAAUCGAUAAAGCCCCUGUAGAUAAGCUUAGAAAGUAUGGGGC